CCUAGGGUUGCUCCAGUGGGGAAUAUUGGACAAUGGGGGAAACCCUGAUCCAGCAAUGCCGCGUGUGUGAAGAAGGCCUGCGGGUUGUAAAGCACUUUCGGUUGGGAGGACUGCUUCUAGCACUAAUAUUGUUGGAAGUUGACGUUACCUUCAGAAGAAGCACCGGCUAACUCCGUGCCAGCAGCCGCGGUAAUACGGAGGGUGCAAGCGUUAAUCGGAAUUACUGGGCGUAAAGCGCGCGUAGGCGGCUAGAUCAGUCGGGUGUGAAAGCCCAGGGCUUAACCUGGGAACUGCAUCCGAUACUGUCUAGCUUGAGUACAGGAGAGGAGAGUGGAAUUCCACAUGUAGCGGUGAAAUGCGUAGAUAUGUGGAGGAACACCAAUGGCGAAGGCAGCUCUCUGGCCUGAUACUGACGCCGAGGUGCGAAAGCGUGGGGAGCAAACAGGAUUAGAUACCCCUGUAGUC
RNAcentral lists this ribosomal RNA (465 nucleotides) under uncultured bacterium. Its description in RNAcentral is "partial 16S ribosomal RNA". It matches the Rfam family "Bacterial small subunit ribosomal RNA", at positions 338 to 795 of the family's 1533-position model. The record is from RNAcentral.